Legionella israelensis is the source of this 78-nucleotide regulatory RNA element. It matches the Rfam family "RAGATH-32 RNA". Rfam says of the family: Legionellales (_-Proteobacteria). Nearby to self-cleaving ribozyme genes Lineage: Bacteria; Pseudomonadati; Pseudomonadota; Gammaproteobacteria; Legionellales; Legionellaceae. The record is from Rfam.
GUGGCUGGACGUUCAGUCGGGAUACCCUUCACGGAUACUUGCCAUUCGGCAGAACAAAUUCCAACGGAAUUUGAGUCA